CCAACUUAAAAUAGAAAAGCAGGUGUCCUACGGCAAAAAGUGCGCAAGGUGAAUCUCCAGGAACAGAAUUGAGCACCCCUGCUGUUUUUACAGGAACAGCUACCACAAAAUAACCUGAAGAUGAGUGUUUUGAUCAGUGAUGUAUCAUGGAUGAUAUUUAGGCAAUUAACCACUUUUAAGCUUACUAGCUUAAAUUACUGACCUUUUAAGCUUACUGGCUUACUAGCGCAUGCCAUUCUUUAUACAUUGUGUGUGUGUGUGUGUGUGUGUGUGUGUGUGUGUGUGUGUGUGUGUGUGUGUGUGUGUUUGUUUAUGCCACUUAACCCUGCCUUAGAUGGUGGAGAAAAACAAUGCACCAUUUCAGGCCUCUUCUCUUCCUCUCUCUUAUGGGCCAGGCACCACUAAAUGCUGACAUUUCAAAAAGAGGAAGCCCAUACAGUGAAAGCUUACAUGAUAUCGGGAAAGUGAAAUUUGAAAGUUUCGGUUGCGCAGAAAGAAGAAGUUUACCAGCCUCUUACUGGAAAAGACCCCCCCGACUCCACCCCGACUUUAGUUCCACAUAUUUGGCCAAAAAAAAAAAAAAGAAAUUAAAAAUUGGCUGUAUUUACACCACCGGACGGGAAAUAAGAGAUCCUGCAAAAAUAUCUUCUUUCAACAAAGAACAUAAUGGCACAUGCAUUUGGAAGAACGAGAGGACUUGUGGCAUAGACUGGAUUUUGUCGCUUGUGUGGAAACAGCAAAAAUACUUAUGA
This is a long non-coding RNA of Cyprinus carpio (common carp), 752 nucleotides long. The record is from Ensembl. NCBI's taxonomy places the organism in Eukaryota, Metazoa, Chordata, Actinopteri, Cypriniformes, Cyprinidae.